GCCGUUCAUAUUUCACUCAUGUGGAAUGUGCUCCGUCAAACUGAGCCUUGAUAAAAAAUAAACUGCAGAUAACUAAGAAACAAUUGCAGAUAAGUCUCUCUUCUCUUUCCCUCUUGCUGCCCUUUUCCCUCUCUUCCGGUUUUCCUCUCGCUUCACUCUCCUUUUCCCUCUCUUCCCCUUAUCCUUCAUUUCCCUCUCUCUUCCCUUCCCCUCUCUCUUCCCUUCCUUCUCUUCUCUUCCCCUCUCUCUCUUCCCUUCCCCUCUCUCUCUUCCCCUCUCUCUUCCUUUUACCUCUUCCCCUCUCUCUCUCUUCUCUUCACCCCUCUCUCUUCUCUUCCCCCCUCUCUCUCUCUUCCCUUCCCCUCUCUCUCGCUUCCCCUCUCUCUUCCAGUCCCUUCCCCUCUCUUCCCUUCCCUUCCUUCUCUUCCCUUCCCCUCUCUCUUCCCUUCCCCUCCUCUCUUCCCCUCUCUUCCUUUUACCUCUUCCCCUCUCUCUCUCUUCUCUUCACCCCUCUCUCUUCUCUUCCCCCCUCUCUCUCUUCCCUUCCCCUCUCUCUCGCUUCCCCUCUCUCUUCCAGUCCCUUCCCCUCUCUUCCCUUCCCUUCCUUCUCUUCCCUUCCCCUCUCUCUCUUCCCUUCCCCUCCUCUCUUCCCCUCUCUUCCUUUUACCUCUUCCCUCUCUCUCUCUUCUCUUCCCUUCCCCUCCUCUCUUCCCCUCUCUUCCUUUUACCUCUUCCCCUCUCUCUCUCUUCUCUUCACCCCUCUCUCUUCUCUUCCCCCCUCUCUAUCUUCCCUUCCCUCUCUCUCGCUUCCACUCUCUCUUCCAGUCCCUUCCCCUCUCUUCCCUUCACUUCCUUCCCUUCCCCUCUCUCUCUUCCCUUCCCCUCCUCUCUUCCCCUCUCUUCCUUUUACCUCUUCCCUCUCUCUCUCUUCUCUUCCCCCCUCUCGCUUCCCUUCCCCUCUCUCUCGCUUCCCUUCCCCUCUCUCUCUCUUCCCUUCCCCUCCCUCUCUUCCCUUCCCCUCUCUCUUCCCUUCCCCUCUCUCUUCCCUUCCCCUCCCUCUCUUCCCUUCC
RNAcentral lists this long non-coding RNA (1070 nucleotides) under Neogobius melanostomus (round goby). RNAcentral describes it as "lncRNA (ENSNMLG00000007873.1)". The record is from RNAcentral. Lineage: Eukaryota; Metazoa; Chordata; Actinopteri; Gobiiformes; Gobiidae.